This is a long non-coding RNA of Cygnus olor (mute swan), 442 nucleotides long. RefSeq lists it as uncharacterized. The record is from RefSeq and is a predicted model, not a curated record. The transcript has 3 exons. NCBI's taxonomy places the organism in Eukaryota, Metazoa, Chordata, Aves, Anseriformes, Anatidae.
GUGUGCUCCCGCUGCUACCGCGGGCGCCUGGCUCCAUCCACAGCUACCGCACCAACAUCCUGCUGCAGUGCAGGGCUCGCACCCGCGUCAACAACGGGCGCGUCUGGAUCGGGGCCAUCACCCGUCCUGUGGGCGGCAGCGUGUUCUGCCACUGGUCUGACAACAGCGGCUGGAACUACGCGUACUGGCUGCACGGCUACCCGCUGGUCACGGGGCGCUUCUGCACCACCCUCUGCACCGCAAAUGGGCGCUGGAGGAGCACAAACUGCCACGUGAGGCUGCCCUUCAUCUGCGAGUACUGAGGGUGCUGUCCCAAUAAACGAGAGCUCUGGCGCUGUCGCCGGACACCCCCCGGCUCAGUGCUCCGCCGGGCAUCCCCCUGCCCACCCCGCAGCACGGGCUGCUCCCCCAGCCCAGCUCCCAGGUAAAGCCUCAGCUGCUG